GUCCAUGAGCUGGUGCCGGGGGCCCCCAGGGGAGACGCGGGAGGUCUUGGAGGACCCCGAGCAGAUGUUGGGUGGCCCCAACGUGGACUUGGGGGUCCCAGAGGUGCUCGUGAUGCCGUUGGGUGACCCCAAGGGGGACUUGGGGGUCCCAGAGCUGCUCACACCGCUGUUGGGUGGCCCCGAGGUGGACUUGGGGGUCCCAGAGCUGCUCACGCUGCCAUUGGGUGGCCCCGACAUGGACUUGGGGGUCCCAGAGGUGCUCAUGAUGCUGUUAGGUGGCCCCAAGUUGGACUUGGGGUCCCAGAGGUGCUCGUGAUGCCGUUGGGUGGCCCCAAGGCGGAUUUGGGGGUCCCAGAGGUGCUCACGCUGCCGUUGGGUGACCCCAAGGUGGACUUGGGGGUCCCAUGGGUGCUCGUGCAGCAGUUGGGUGACCCCCAGUGAGACGUGGGGGUCCCGUAAAUGAUCACGUUGGCGUUGGGUGCCCUCAAGGCAAAUUUGGGGGUCCCGGAGGUCCUCACGCCRCCGUUGGGUGACCYCAAGGUGGACUUGGGGGUCCCAUGGGUGCUCGUGCAGCAGUUGGGUGCCCCCAACAUGGAUCUGGGGGUCCCACAGGUCCUCACGCAGCCAUUGGGUGACCCCAAAGUGGACUUGGGGGUCUUGGAGGUCCUCAUGCAGCCACGGGGUGCCCCCAACGUGGAUUUGGGGGUCCCACAGGUCCUCACUCAAUCAUUGGGUGACCCCAAGGUGGACUUGGGGGUCCCACGGGUCCUUACUCAGCCAUUGGGUGACCCCAAGAUGGACUUAGGGGUCCCACAGGUCCUCACGUGGCCAUUGGGUGACCCCAAGGUGGACUUGGGGGUCUUGGAGGUCCUCAUGCAGCCAUUGGGUGACCCCAACGUGGAUUUGGGGGUCCCAGAGGUGCUCGUGAUGCUGUUGGGUGGCCCCAGCGUGGACUUGGGGGUCUUGGAGGUCCUCAUGCGGCCAUUGGGUGACCCCAAGGUGGACUUGGGGGUCUUGGAGGUCCUCACUCAGCCAUUGGGUGACCCCAACGUAGAUCUGGGGGUCUUGGAGGUCCUCACGCAGCCAUUGGGUGACCCCAAUGUGGAUUUGGGGGUCCCACAGGUCCUCACUCAGCCACUGGGUGACCCCAACAUAGAUCUGGGGGUCUUGGAGGUCCUUAUGCAGCCACUGGGUGACCCCAAUAUGGACUUAGGGGUCCCACAGGUCCUCACAUGGCCAUUGGCUGCCCCCAACGUGGAUUUGGGGGUGCCACAAGUCCUCACGCAACCAUUGGGUGAGCCCAAGGUGGACUUGGGGGUCUUGGAGGUCCUCACGCGGCCAUUGGGUGCCCCCAAGGUGGAUCUGGGGGUCCCGGAGGUGCUCGCGCUGCCGUUGGGUGCCCUCAACGAGAAUCUGGGGGUCUUGGAGGUGCUCGUGCCACCAACAGGGCGCCCCCGGGGAGACGUGGGGGUCCCAGAGGUGCUCGCGCCGCUGUUGGGUGCCCUCAAGGUAAAUUUGGGGGUGUCGGAGGUGCUCGCGCCGCCGUUGGGUGCCCUCAACAUAAACUUAGGGGUCCUGGAGAUGCUCACGCCGCCAUUUGGUGGCCCCAAGGCGGGUUUGGGGGUCCCRCAGGUGCUCGCGCCGCCGUCGGGAGUCCCCCACGGGACGUGGGGGGUCCCGUAAGUGCUCACACCAGUCUUGGGUGCCCCCUAAGCGACAUGGAGGUCCCAUAGGUGCUCGUGUUGGCGUCGGGCGCCCCCGGCGCAGGCUGGGGGUCCCGUAAGAGCUCACACCGGUCUUGGGGGCCCCCUAAGCGACACGGGGGUCCCAUAGGAGCUCACACUGGCCUGGGGUGCCCCCUAAGUGACAUGGAGGUCCCAUAGGAGCUCACAGAGGUCUUGGGCAGCUCCUAAGCGACACGGAGGUCCCAUAAGAGCUCGCAUUGGCGUUGGGUGUCCUCCUAGGUGACACGGAGGUCCCAUAGGAGCUCAUACCGGUCUUGGGGGCCCCCUAAGCGACACGGAGGUCCCACAGGAGCUCAUACAGGUCUUGGGCACCUCCUAGGUGACACGGGGGUCCCAUAGGAGCUCACGCUGGUCUUGGGUGCCCCCUAAGUGACAUGAAGGUCCCAUAGGAGCUCAUAUCGGUCUUGGGUGCCCUCUAAAUGAUGUGGAGGUCCCAUAAGAGCUCAUAUUGGUCUUGGGUAUCUCCUAGGUGACAUGGAGGUCCCGUAGGAGCUCGUGCCAGUUUUGGGCACCUCUCAGAUGACACGGGGGUCCCAUAAGAGCUCACACAGGUCUUGGGCAUUUUCUAACUUACAGGAAGAUCCCAUAAGAGCUCACACCGGUCUUGGGCACCUCUUAGAUGACAUGGAGGUCCCACAGCAGCUCAUGCUGGUUUUGGGCGCCCCUGAGAAGAUCUGCGGGGCCCAUAAGAGCUCACACCGGCAUCGGGGGCACCUCCCAGGUGAUAUAGAG
This is a long non-coding RNA of Apteryx owenii (little spotted kiwi), 2477 nucleotides long. The record is from Ensembl. Lineage: Eukaryota; Metazoa; Chordata; Aves; Apterygiformes; Apterygidae.